AAACUCUGCCAGUGCUGGAAGUGAGCUGGCACGAGGAGUGACGGAAGAGGACUCGGUCUGUGCGUCCAUCGUUAUCUUUUCACUGCACGUCAGCUCCGAGAUAACACCAGGAAAUAAUCUCCCAGCCCAGGAAUGAAAGAACUCCAAUGGUGGGCAGCUCUGCAAUGGGCCACCCGCAGAUGUCAGUCAAAUAACACUGAAAAUAGAGAGGGUCAGACACAAGGAGCAGAUCCUGGGGCUGAGAAGCAGCCGGGCACGGCCACUCAAGCCCACAGUGUACAAAAAGCAAAACUGGAGCCUGAAACGAGAUCCAGGCUCCAGCGAAAUGGACUAUUUCCAAGUAUUUGAAAAGCUUCAGACAGCUGUGGGAAGGAAGAAAACUCUCACAGGCUGUGACAAGGCAGAGCAAGAGAGGCACGAAAACAAGUUCCCCCAUGAAACAGAAAAGGCAUUGAGGCUCUGGCAGCCCACAGGGGACGGAUGGUGCCGGCUGGGCAGGCGCUCGCUGCUCAGCAAUGUUUGAGGAAAAUCCUCCUUCAAGGUACCUGACAGGGCCAAGCCACCCAGAAGACCCCCAAGAAACGAACACAGCCACAGGAGGUGUUUUGGAGGCUCAGGAAAACACAGGACCCAUCCCUGGGGACACCAGCGACAGCCAUCCUCCUGCCAGCGAGCCACCAGCAAGCCCCAGCUCCCCACAGCAGCGCCUGGCCUGCCUGAGGAUGCUGAUGUCCAGGCAGAAGGCAGAAUAUGAAUCCAGAGUUGCAAGCCUGGAGCAGCGGAACAGAGAGCUGCAGUCGGAGAUUAAGGACAUGCAUUGGAAACUGGGACAGCAGCGCAAGCAGCACAGCCUUGUGGAGAUGAAAAUGCGAAAUGCAGAGAGAGCAAAGGAAGAUGCAGAGAGAAGAAACGAAAUGCUUCAAAGAGAAAUGGAAGAGUUUUUUGAAACCUUUGGAGAAAUUAACAAAUGGAAAUAAAUCGGUUUGAACUUGAGCUCUCUCUGUAGGAGAGAGAAAAGCCAUAUUCUGAUCUCAGAAAUUAAGAAUCUCAGCAGUAAAAACUGGGCUGUCAAUUACAAAGCAAGCAGUGAUACAAACUCAUCCUUAACUCCAGGAACUCUCUGCAGUGCCCUGCUAACACCAAGGAUGCUCUCUUUUACCCCUGGAAAAAUCUUUCAGACAUGCUUUGCACUACCCAUUCCCAAACCAGCCUACAGCAGCACAAUGGGAAAGCUCCCUGGUAUUUUCAGGCUCACUCGUACUAAUGCACCAAGUGGCUGACUUUUUAAUUUCAGGAUAUUGUGCUUGUUGGGAGUGUUUUACUAGCCAGCCUAGAAGUCACAUAGGUAUUAAAUGGGCUUCAGGGGCGUUUAUACCUGCAUCCUUAAGUCAGAUGAUUUCUUUGGAGACAAACACAGAGAAAUAAUAAGACCAAACAUCUCCUUAUAGACCAUGCCAGCACUGCCAUGUGGCCCUGUGGCUGGAAUCUGGAGCUUCAGGGUAAGUCCUGUCCUCUCCCUAAAGGUAUUUCCUUUCAUGGAGGAAGAGGUAUCUCGGAUAGCCAAGAGUCUCCCUGCCAGACUCCCAUAAGUAUGCCUGUCUUAAGAAUGUUACUAGUAGACUCCUUCACUCAUCUUUGCAGAGCUACCUCUAUACACACCAUAAACACAUUAACUAUUUUAAUACUAGAGUUUUAAUACUGUUGUUUUUGUUGUUUUAAUACUGUAGUUUUAGUAACUAUUUUAAUACUUCCCCAGUUACAUCAGACAGCUUUACAAAGUGACUAAGAAACCUUAUCAGUGUCUUCACAAGAAUACUUACCUCUUCAAGAAAAUACAAUGAAAUGAUUUAUUGUUUUCAAAUUUAGCUGUACAUCUGCAUUAUUCAGUCAGGACAAGAUGAAACAACAUUGUUAGAGAAUUAGGUGAAAAGCAAAUUAUUUCAAAGUCCAUAUAUAUAUACAAAUAAACACACCCCAUACGGCCAGUAGCUUAUCUGCAUCUUACAAGAAAGUCUGAAAAAACAAUUAUGAUACUGGUUAAACACAAGGAUGUGAAUACAAAUCUGUCAGUAUCACCCAGAAAGCUUCUGCAAUUUUGAAGAACAAAUUCCAAAAUACACUUCUUACUUGGCAGUAAAACCAAGUGCUGUUAACAUGUCCAAAUGUUCCAGGUGAUCAGGAGAAAGCAGCUCCAGAAAGUGUUUUAAGCUGAUAUUAAUUUACUUUUCAUACUCAUACUUACUUUUUGGUUAACCAAAAACUGAAGUGUAAUGAAACAUUAUGUUUUAUAAAACUAAGAACAUAUUCUUUCAAUUAGAUAAAACAUUCCACUUCAACACAAGAAGAAGCAAGAAACAACACAUAGCUAUAGUAAAUAAAACAAACUACUCAAAUUGUUUAAGUAUACAUAUUUAUUUGUAAUUUUACAGUGGCUUUAGUAUUGUUUUAUGAUACGUUUUUUGGAGAAAAAGCAUCAGAACAAGGCUUUAACUAGCACUUCAGAACUAGUUAUUGACAGCUUUCCUUAUGAAAUUCUAGUUUCCUUAAAAAAAAUCAAUCCAAAAAAAUAAGGAAGCGUGACUGCUGUCCAUGAAACAAAAAAUACUGUCUAGUCAUCCUGAAAACAAAGUCCAGCAUCAGACAAAAUAGCCACUGCAUUGAAGGGAACAUGUUCCUAUUGCACAAGCAUAAAGAAUGAGAUAUGACAAUCAAAGCCUAAUUUCAUACGCAGAAGAGGCCACAUGUAUCUAUAUAAUUAGACUUCAAAGCACAUCUUUCUUCUGAAAUUAUAUACCAUAUCUAAUAUUAAGGCCAUAAAAUCAGAACAUUAUAACAAGUGAUAGGGCUUGAUGCUACUUUUUGUGACAUUUGGUAAACAGAAGGUGGAAAAGAGGGCCAAAACAAGACAAACAAAGCAUUUCAAAGGGAGAUAAAGGCAUUUCAAAAAAGUUCUUGAACUGAAGUUGGGUGGGAGGGUGGUUAUUUUAAGUAAUCGGGAAAAAUUGGAUUUAAAUACAAAUAACUCAAGGAGCCCAUUAUACUCUUUAAUAGCAUGUGUUCUGGAGCAAACUACAUAAUAUAUUCUCUGGAUUUAACAUUUGCAUUUGUACAAAACAGUUCAUUAAUUCCAUUUGAUAUUCUCUCUUUAAAAUAGAUGAAAAUUCUUAUAAUCUUUAUAAGUUAUCUUAAUGACCAGAUAAGGCUUCGCUGUACUGGGUUAACUAAACACAAGUAUCUCUGAUUUGCCCUUACUUAGGUAUCCUAAUUAAACUAAACUAAAACCACCUGUGGGACCCAGCAUGUCAUGCAAUUUAAAGAAAGGGAUUGUAGUUAUGCAUUGCUAACUCUCUAAUCAUGUUCAUUUUAUUAGUGUAUAAAACACUUGAAAGCAAUAGCUCCAAAGAAGCAUAACUGGAAUUUUACACACUUUACUUUUGGAAAAAUUGGGAAUCUGACGAACCUAAAAAUGUAUAUUAGUCAUUUUAUAAAGUUUGGUUUGCCACAAUUUAAGAAAAUAUAGGUAUCAAAAACAGACAAAUACAUUGCUAACCAUCUGUUACAUUUUCUUUUAAAAAAUUAGCACCAAUUUAAGCAUCUGAAUUCAUAGAAAAGCUAGUGACACACAUGGUUUUUCAAAAAAGUUUUUUCCCAGUAGAAGACAAUACAAUAGCACAUGUUCAUGGAUAUUAAACUAGCUUUGCUAUCGUUAACAAAUAUGACUACUGUUUCAGGUAGUGGACAUAAAAUGUGGUUCUUACGUGACUGCUUUCUUCUCUGCUUUCAUUAUCCUAAGAAACCAUGGAGUGCUGAACUCCAGCCUGGAAAACGAGCUCAUGUAUGCCAUAGGAGGCAUCAAGCUUUUAGACCAGUAUUUUAGAGACACUGUCUUCCUAUGUAUCCUCAUAGUAUCUGUAACAGUGGAGUCCCCAUGUAAACAGAUGUUCUGGCCUCACCACAGCACAUACAUCUAGCUUAGGAUGAAUAGCCUAAUGUUAAUAAAAGCUAGCUGAUCUUGCUACAUGACAGACUUUUGCAUUUCUUUAUAUCAUAGAUGCCUAGGUAGUCACUUUGCUAUUCAAGUCACCCUACAGGUAUUUAAGUAGGGGAUGCUUCUCAAAUCAUCUCGUACUAUGUGUUAAAUUUCAGCCCUAAAAAAAUCUCAAAGUUCACAUCUCUCAAAAAAGGUUUAUAUUUAAAGGAAAAUGCUGUUCAAAUCUAUCAGAUCAAAAGACUGAAACCAAAUUUGAAUACAUCUGAUUUUUUGUCAUUCCUUUUAACACUAUAUACUGGUUGUAUUCAGAAGAAUCCUAAAGUGCUUCAAACCCAGCAAUUAAUAAAGUUGAUUUCUGUUGUGCAAAACUGCAAGCACCUUUUCAAAAAAUAAGCAGCAACAUCAAGGAAUAAGAACUGAAAUAUUUAAAUGUAUUUUCUUUUUUUAAUUCUUGGACCAAAAUAAUUUGUCGUAUUUUCAGUAACAAAUUGCAGAAGACUAUUUUAUUAUUUUAAUUUUAUACUGGACUUCUUAUACAUAUAUUUCUUUGAAAUAGCGGACCCAGGUAAAUUUAUAUCAACAAAGCAAGUCUACAAGAUUGAAAUCCAACAAAUAAAAUUUUAGCUACAAAAAUAGUCAUUUAAUAAAACACAAACAGAAGUGAUGAUCUUCUCUUCACCUUCCUCCAACACUAAUAUGAGAAAAGAUGGCUUACUUAAAACAUUAGUUUAGCUCCAGACGUUUUAGCAUGCAGUGGGCAAAAAAUAAAACUGAUUUGAUAAGUUGUGUAAUAAGCUUUUAGAACAUCACUAAUUACUCACGUAAUAGACAAUCUAAGAUAUAUGGAAAAUAAUGAGGCAGAAUACAUUUUUUGUCAUACUUCAUGUUGAAAAAAAUCAAAGACACUGUGGAAAAGCAAAGAAGUUACUAGAUUCAUUUAUAGGAACUUAAGUCCAAAUUCUGCAUCUGGGUGCAGGUGUCCCUGGAUCAAAAACAGUUUUGAGCAGGAAUUACACAAUACACAUCCCAGGAAAGAAUUUGGUUCCCAGUAUACAGUAUCACUAAGUUUAGCAUCAAGCCCUGAUAGAAUCCAUAUGACAUAUGUAGAAUAUACAGACAAAGGCUGGUCAGCAUUUACCCCUCACCAAACUAAGUACUUCCAUUUCAAGACUCACAAUUCAAAUGAAACGCUCUACACAAACUGUAUUGCUGCAAGACUGAACCUGUAUUCAAAAACAGCAUUAUGCUCAGUAAAGAUUUGUCUGCACUUCAGCAACUGAACUUCCAGCGCACACCAAACGGGAGGAUUGCACUUCUGCCAAAAAAGGCUCGUUUACCCAGUUCUUGGAGGCUCAGUGUGUCAGUUUUUUGAAUGUCUGAAUCCUAUUUCAUUUGUAAAAUUAUAAUUUUAAGCCAAAUACAAGCUAAAAAGGAAACCAAUUCAGCAUUAUGAUUUAGAAAUUGAGGUCUUUCCUUCAGGAAAGAAAAAUAAAACAUAUGGAAUUACUUCCCCCAACACACACUUAGUUUUGAAUAAACGUAUGUGCACUCUGUUAGGACUCCAAAAGACAAAAAAAUAAUAGUCCUUUAGUCCCUAACAGUCUUAACAACCAACCAGUUAAUUCUCAGUUAAGGUUCAGUUUAAUUUUCAUUAUUUUGACAAGGAAAUGCAAACCCUUACCAGAAACAAGAUAAAGCUUCACAGGCUGUUUGCAAACACUAGUUUCCAGUCAGACUCGUUUGUUUAGUAAAAUCUGUGCAGACAAAACCUUGAUUUUGCCAUUCGUUACUCAUGUUUUUGUCAUUUUCCAUUACAUAAAAUGAAGCUUGUCAUAUCACACUGUUUCCUCAAAGCACACUUACAGGCUGCUUAUCCAGAUUUCAAAAAGCCAGGUUUCUUUAAGGGUGGUGUUUUUUUUGUUUGGUUGUUGUUUUUUUGUGUUUUUGUUUUUUCCCCGAUUGGAUUUUUUUUUUUUUUUGAGGAAAAACGAUAUGAGCACAGAACAUUUUAAAACAUACUCCAUUUCUGCAAUGCCAUUCAGCUACUCAGUGUUCAUAUAUCUAACAAUGUUUCUGGUAAAUAAUCUGAUUGAUAGCCAUAAAUCCCUCUUUUUUGUUGUUUUUCAGGUGAGCAGUUAAGAUUACAGAUUGCAUCUAUGUUGACUGCCACUUCUUAUUAGUCAUAUUUUAUAAAUUGUUUAUGCAUACUGCAGUAGUGUUAACACAAAGUCUCUCAUACAGAAAAGUAACAUUCAUGUUUACAAAACUGAGCAGGUUUCUAAUAUAUAUGUAUACACACUCACAUAUUCUUAGUCUUUAAAUACAUAUAAAUAUUUAUAAAAGCCAAAGUGCAAAAAAAUGGUCAAUUGUAUCACUUUACAUACAUGAUUUUAGUAUUAGGAAUAAAAGUGAUUAUAUUGCACACCAAACUUUCUCAACUUUUAAACCCCUGUCAAGAUACAUGUGCAUUUUACUUUCCAUCAAUGAUGAGGUUCUCACAGCAUCGACAACCAUUUCACAGAUGUGGCACUGAACUUAAUCUGUAGUCAGGAAUACAACUAAUAUGUAUAAAGUCUGCAUGCAGUGCGUUUAUAGUCUGUAUGUGCACACUGAAACAGCAUGGGAGCUUUAGCAUGCAUCUAUCCUGCAUGCGUUUUGCUGAAUAUAAUCUGUUUAUCUGCCUUCUCUAAGAACUGGACAUUUAUUCAGGUUAUUAGCAGUUUGCUUUUAAGUUAUGCGAGAAUCAAAAUCCACAAUAUUCACACCUUUCAUUUCAUGCAUGUUUUGAAGGCAGUAACAUUUUGGUAAAAUUUAGAAGCUUCAAAGUAUGGCAUAGCAAGAAGCCAUUAAAAACAUACAGUAUGAAAUGGCUUUUCCUACAAACAAUAGGAUUUACAAGGAAGCUCAAUCUCAGGGCUUAUUUUGUUCAAAGAUUACAUAUUUGAUGUAACAGUAUAUACUAGAAGGUCAGAUACCAGUUCAAAUCCUGGGGAUAGGGCAGUUCUGUGUUAAAAAAAAACAAACAAACACACACACAACAUUAAAAGACGAUUUGAAUCACAGAGUAAUUUGGGUUGGGAGAGACCUGGAGGCCAUCUGGUCCAACCAGCCCAGCGCUGAGCAGCCCAAGUCCGAUAUGAAAAACUCAACUUUGAGCAUAUCCAAAAGACAUGAAAAGUAUUUGUUGCAUUAAAUCUUCUGAAGCAAUAAAUGUUAAAAUGAUGAAUGUAAAGUACAGUGCAACUUCACUUGAAAAAGCUAAAAAUAAAUCUUGAAAAAUGAAAUCCAGUAAAUGACUUCCAUAGUGAAUAAAGAAUAUAAAAAUAUUCUUAUAUGGAAGGAAGGGGGGGAGGAUUAAAAGUAAUCCAAAAUCACUAAUGUUACUUCUGAAAAGGUGUCUUUAAUAAUUUUAACUGGCACAAAUAACAAGGAUUAAAAAGAAA
Molecule: long non-coding RNA, 7434 nt
Organism: Anas platyrhynchos (mallard)
Lineage: Eukaryota; Metazoa; Chordata; Aves; Anseriformes; Anatidae
Source: RefSeq, a predicted model, not a curated record